RNAcentral lists this ribosomal RNA (699 nucleotides) under Ocyphaps lophotes (crested pigeon). Its description in RNAcentral is "partial 12S ribosomal RNA". It matches the Rfam family "Bacterial small subunit ribosomal RNA", at positions 521 to 1508 of the family's 1533-position model. Lineage: Eukaryota; Metazoa; Chordata; Aves; Columbiformes; Columbidae. The record is from RNAcentral.
UCAUACAAGAGACCCAAGUUAACAGUAUACGGCGUAAAGAGUGGGCCCACAACUAUCACAGUAAUUAAGGUUGAAAAGUAACUGAGCUGUCAUAAGCUUAAGGCACACUUAAAACCACCCUAAAGACGACCCUAAUCCCUAUGAUUAACUAGACCCCACGAAAGCUAGGACACAAACUGGGAUUAGAUACCCCACUAUGCCUAGCCCUAAAUCUUGAUGCUUACCAACAUAAAGCAUCCGCCCGAGAACUACGAGCACAAACGCUUAAAACUCUAAGGACUUGGCGGUGCCCCAAACCCACCUAGAGGAGCCUGUUCUGUAAUCGACAACCCACGAUGCACCCGACCACUUCUUGCAAAGAUGACAGCCUACAUACCGCCGUCGCCAGCUCACCUCCACUGAGAGCACAAUAGUGAACACAAUUGCCUUAGCCCCGCAAAUACGACAGGUCAAGGUAUAGCCUAUGAAGUGGAAGAAAUGGGCUACAUUUUCUAGCUUAGAAAACCCAAAACGAAAGGGGACAUGAAACAGCCCCCAGAAGGCGGAUUUAGCAGUAAAGUGGGAUAAUAAAGCCCCCUUAAAACCGGCCCUGAGGCACGUACAUACCGCCCGUCACCCUCCUCAUAAGCCUUGAACCCCCAUAAAUAAAACGCCUACUCGCCAAAGAUGAGGUAAGUCGUAACAAGGUAAGUGUACCGG